GAUGAACGCUGGCGGUAUGCCUAAUACAUGCAAGUCGAGCGACAACACGAGAAGAUCUUUCUCUUGCCGUUGGCGGCUGACGGGUGGGUAACAAAUGCAUCGGCUACUACUUUUUCUGGGGGGAUAACGGAAGACAACUUACGCUAAUACCGCAUAUGUCCUACCGGUUGAAGCAGUAGAGCUUCAGACCUUUCCCGACUCAAUUAGACGGUGUCGGAUUAGCUAGUUGGGUGGGUAAAGGCCCACCAAGGCGACGAUCCGUAGCGGGUCUGAGAGGAUGAUCGGCCACACUGGAACUGAGACACGGUCCAGACUCCUACGGGAGGCAGCAGUGGGGAAUCUUGGACAAUGGGCGCAAGCCUGAUCGAGCAAUACCGCGUGGGUGAAGAAGGCCUUCGGGUUGUAAAGCCCUUUUGUUGGGAAAGAAAAGAAGCAGAUUAAUCCACGGCUGUUCUGACGGUACCCAAAGAAUAAGCCCCGGCUAACUUCGUG
RNAcentral lists this ribosomal RNA (492 nucleotides) under uncultured bacterium. RNAcentral describes it as "partial 16S ribosomal RNA". It matches the Rfam family "Bacterial small subunit ribosomal RNA", at positions 28 to 507 of the family's 1533-position model. The record is from RNAcentral.